This is a long non-coding RNA of Homo sapiens (human), 2810 nucleotides long. Ensembl annotates it as endogenous retrovirus group K13 member 1. Its record names the gene ERVK13-1. The record is from Ensembl. Lineage: Eukaryota; Metazoa; Chordata; Mammalia; Primates; Hominidae.
AGGGAAGGAGGACUCUGAGGAGGCCCCGAGCGGCGGAGCGCUUCGGGGGAGGCGCCCGCGCAGACGCGAGGCCCAUAGCCAGGACCACCACCUAGCUGUCUGGGGACGACGGUUUAAAAAUUUAUGCCUUGCAUGCGAUGUGCAGUGGGUGAUGGAAGAACGUCUACAUGGCUUUAAAAUUGGAUUUAAAAGGCAAAUAUUUUAAAUGAAGGAAAACCCAAGAAGUUUACUUGAUUCCUUAUCUUCCAGGAUGCGACUUUUGUUUAUUUAUUUAUUUUAUUUUGAUGGAGUCUCGCUGCCGUCGCGCAGGCUGGAGUGCAGUGACGCGAUCUUGACCCGGGAACCUCCACCUCCCGGGUUCAAGCGAUUCUCCUUCCUCAACCACCCGAGUAGCUGGGAUUACAGGCGUGUGCCACCAUGCCCGGCUAAUUUUUGUGUUUUUAGUAGAGACCGGGGAAGGUAUGGGCCCUCUUUUGAGAAAAAUGCAGAGUGACACUGAAUUUUGUAACUACAUCAGGAGGCUCUUGAACCUUCUGCAGCUCACUCGUGGAGUUUGUAGAGAUGCGUAAUAAUCCGAAGUGUUAAGGAAGAAGGUUCUGUUGAGAAAAAGUUGGAGGGCUGAAAGGGAUGCCUUUCGCUAUUUCGACAUGUGUGGCUGUACCCCAGAGUGCCCUGGCUAACACGCAAAACCAUGAAUUAGGCGGCUUGGCGAGGCUCAGUGGAGGCUGGGGCCGAGAGUCAUGUCAAAGUUUGUGGGGUUAACCUGCACCCAGUGACAGUCAUGGCGAAGUUUGUGAGGUUAACUCGCACCCAGUAACGCUGUUCCAAUGCAAGGUGUGUAUUUGGUGUCAUCCACGGGAAGAGGAAACAGCAAAUUUUCUCAUGGCCUUGGCAGUUCCACAUGAUGGACAUUUCAUAUCUGCAGUUUUCUUCGCAUGAGAUGGCUUUUUUGCACAAAAACACUGGAAUCCAGUGAGCAAGAAUGAUAGAAUGCAAGAUGGAUUUCCACAUGAGGAAGUGUCACGAACAAGCGUUUUGCAUCUCUGUCAGCUGGAUUCCCCCAUGUGUACGUAUGUGAGAACAUGCCGUGUUUCCUGUCUGUAAUGGUAGAGGCAGCCCUGAUACUGGAUUUUCACCUGAGGAUGGAUAGAUCUUCAGGGUUCAAGUGGGUUUGCAUCUGGACUUUAGGGUGGCCCUGUAGGCCCUGUGUGAGAAGCCCCCUUCCCAGUGAACUUUCCCUUGUGUGCCCGCGUGGACAGCCAACAGGGGGAGCAGUGCGAGCGUGAAGGCAGACAGUGGCCUGGCCCAGUCUGAUGGGAGAGACCCACCGACCCUGUGGGGCUGGUCCCUACAUCUGGCGCUCUGACGUGGGGCUCUCCCUCGCUGUGUGAAGUUGCACCCUGAGUGCGGGAUCAGCGGAGGAGUUCAACGAGAGAUUCCUGAGGAUUGCAGUCUAUAAACUUGGUGGAAAAGAACUACAGCCUGUGUGGGUCCCCUCCCGACAAUUAAAAUUGCACCAUAACUCCAAAGAUGAAACGCUCCCAGAAAGAAAAGGCAAAGACCCAUCGGAAACAAAAGAGCAACUUUCACCGCCUGAUACAUACACUUCAUGACAUCCACAUUGAGACAAAAUCUCGCCGUGUGACCUACAACACCUCUCGUUCAACCCCACCUACUUGGGGUCGAAUACAGAUUUUAUCUCAUCAAACAGAAAAAUUCUUAACAGAAAAAGGAAUCCCAAAAAUGACUGGUAAUAUAAUUCUGGCUGCCUUUAUGGUAGUCAGUGCAGCGUCUGCAGAUGCCUCUAAGGAGUCCGAAACCAAGUCCGAAGUCAACAACAAGCAAUGAUGGCGAUGGCGAUUCUAGUUAAUAAAAAGGGGGGAGAUGUGGGCGGCAAGCCACCCAGGCACCGAGGCAAGAGACAGAGGACACGAGCUGUUCCAGUAUAAUAAAAUAUAAAACAAGAAUAGUUAUACCAGAUAUAGAUCUUAGAUAUGAUUAUAUACGAAUAUCAUUAAUCAUGAGUUUGUAGCAAUUACUUUUUAUUCCAAUAUUAUGAUAAUCCUCGCUCUAUAAUCAUAGCCUAGGAAAAACCAGGCCAUACAGAGAUAGGAGCUGAGGGGACAUAGUGAAGUGUGACCAGAAGACAAGAGUGCGAGCCUUCUGUUAUGCCCGGACAGGGCCACCAGAGGGCUCCUUGGUCUAGCGGUGACGCCAGCGUCUGGGAAGACACCCGUUACCAGGCGGAUCGUGGCCCAGCCGUAGCAAAAGGUGUCAAGGAACACCUUUUGCAAAAGGUGUCAACACCCGCUACUUAGCAGACUGGGAAAGGGGGGCGGUCUCCCUUUCCCCGGGGGAGUUUAGAGAAGACUCUGUUCCUCCACCUCUUGUGGAGGGCCUGACAUCAGUCAGGCUUGCCCGUAGUUAUCCGGAGGCCUAACUGUCUCCCUGUGAUGCUGUGCUUCAGUGGUCACGCUCCUAGUCUGCCUUCAUUUUCCAUCCUGUACACCUGGCUCUGCCUUCUAGAUAGCAGUAGUAAAUUAGUGAAAAUACUAAUAGUCCCUGAUAUGCAGAAAUAAUGGCAUAAGCUGUCUUUCUCUCUGUCUCCUCUCCCUCUCUGCCUCGGCUGCCAGGCAGGGAAGGGCCCCCUGUCCAGUGGACACAUGACCCAUGUGACCUUACCUAUCAUUGGAGGUGACUCACAUUCUUUACCCUGCCCCUUCUGCCUUGUAUCCAAUAACAGCGCAGUCAGACAUUCAGGGCCACUACCGGUCUCCGCACAUUGGUGGUAGUGGUCCCCCGGGCCCAGC